Molecule: ribosomal RNA, 91 nt
Filed under: Ruminococcus sp. AM58-7XD
Lineage: Bacteria; Bacillati; Bacillota; Clostridia; Eubacteriales; Oscillospiraceae
Description: partial 16S ribosomal RNA
Rfam family: Bacterial small subunit ribosomal RNA
Source: RNAcentral
UUUUAUCAGAGAGUUUGAUCCUGGCUCAGGAUGAACGCUGGCGGCGUGCUUAACACAUGCAAGUCGAACGGGAAAUACUUCAUUGAGACUU